Molecule: unclassified non-coding RNA, 237 nt
Filed under: fungal sp.
Lineage: Eukaryota; Fungi
Description: partial contains small subunit ribosomal RNA, internal transcribed spacer 1, and 5.8S ribosomal RNA
Rfam family: Eukaryotic small subunit ribosomal RNA (bases 1-46)
Source: RNAcentral
AAGUCGUAACAAGGUUUCCGUAGGUGAACCUGCGGAAGGAUCAUUAAUGAGAACAUGUCCUCUUGGACAUAUCUCCCACCCUGUGUUUAUAAUACUAUUGUUGCUUUGGUGGGCCCGUUUCACAACCACCGGCUUUAGCUGGUCAGUGCCCGCCAGAGGACCCUAAAAACCAUUUAUCAUGUUGUCUGAGUCCAUUAAAAAUAAUUAAAACUUUCAACAACGGAUCUCUUGGUUCUG